AUGGACCAAGGAGCCAGCUCGAACGCGGCCGCCUUCGUCGGCGCCGGUGAAGAAGAAAAGCAGCUCAAGGCGAUGUACGAGACAGAGGCGAAGAAGGUGGCCCGGCUGCAGGCGCUGCUGUCGUUCGGCAGGGCGGCGCACGCGGAAGCCAUGCGGUACAGCGACAUGGAGGAGGAGGAGGUGGUGGAGGAGUACCGGCGGGCGGGGAAGCUGCACACCUACGACGUGGACAAGGAGUGGAAGAAGCGCUUUGCCAGGGUCGCCAAGCUCCAUCCGUGCCCGUGGGGCAAGCAGACGGCCGCGAAGGUCGCAGAGUACACGUAUUACCUCGAGGAGGACGAGGACGACUUCAGGAUAGGGCUCUACUCACUAAUCAGGGAGUGA
This 384-nucleotide ribosomal RNA is filed under the name Triticum aestivum (bread wheat). RNAcentral describes it as "partial small subunit ribosomal RNA". Lineage: Eukaryota; Viridiplantae; Streptophyta; Magnoliopsida; Poales; Poaceae. The record is from RNAcentral.